UACGGGGGGAGCAAGCGUUGUUCGGAUUUACUGGGCGUAAAGGGCGCGUAGGCGGCCAGCACAAGUCAGUUGUGAAAUCUCCGGGCUUAACUCGGAAAGGUCAACUGAUACUGUGCGGCUAGAGUGCAGAAGGGGCAACUGGAAUUCUCGGUGUAGCGGUGAAAUUCGUAGAUAUUGGGAAGAACACCGGUGGCGAAGGCGGCUCUCUGGACCGAGACUGACGCUGAGGCGCGAAAGCGUGGGGAGCAAACAGG
Molecule: ribosomal RNA, 254 nt
Filed under: uncultured bacterium
Lineage: Bacteria
Description: partial 16S ribosomal RNA
Rfam family: Bacterial small subunit ribosomal RNA
Source: RNAcentral